Long non-coding RNA from Scatophagus argus, 390 nucleotides. RefSeq lists it as uncharacterized. The record is from RefSeq and is a predicted model, not a curated record. Lineage: Eukaryota; Metazoa; Chordata; Actinopteri; Scatophagidae. The transcript is spliced from 2 exons.
AUAAUUAGCCAGCUAGGUUGCUAAAUCCAUAUGUUAGCUACGUCACGACUUUAAGGACAUGUUUACCACUUUAGCGUAGUGUUGUUGUGGAUAAUCCAAAAAUGGGCUCUAUCGGCUGCCAGCUUUGGAGCUGAAUCAGUACUGGCCAAGGGCAAACUGCAGCACAUCAUUCACUCUGCUGAGAAAGGCGUGAGUCAUGACCUCCUGGUCUCCGUGCAGCCUGGAAAAUAAUUGGGGACCUCCAUCACCCCAGACACCCCAGAACCCUCAGUGGUGCUUCCAGCUAAUCAACCCUCCACCUCUUCACCUUUCCCUCUGCACUGGUGAAGAAAACAUCUGCUCACACAAAAGGACAAGAAGCAAGAAAUAAAAUGAUUUUGUGGAAUCAUC